Molecule: signal recognition particle RNA, 97 nt
Filed under: Paracoccus sp. (in: a-proteobacteria)
Lineage: Bacteria; Pseudomonadati; Pseudomonadota; Alphaproteobacteria; Rhodobacterales; Paracoccaceae
Description: signal recognition particle sRNA small type
Rfam family: Bacterial small signal recognition particle RNA
About the family: The signal recognition particle (SRP) is a universally conserved ribonucleoprotein involved in the co-translational targeting of proteins to membranes. Archaeal SRP consists of a 7S RNA and homologues of the eukaryotic SRP19 and SRP54 proteins.
Source: RNAcentral
GAGAGGUUGGCGCGGGCAAACGCUUCGCCAACCCGGUCAGGCCCGGAAGGGAGCAGCCGCAACGAUUCCCGUUUGGGUCGCUGUCCAGCCUCUCACC